RNAcentral lists this unclassified non-coding RNA (150 nucleotides) under soil metagenome. RNAcentral describes it as "partial internal transcribed spacer 1". The record is from RNAcentral.
CCGAGUUAUACAACUCAUCAACCCUGUGUACAUACCUAUAACGUUGCCUCGGCGGGAACAGACGGCCCCGUAACACGGGCCGCCCCCGCCAGAGGACCCCCUAACUCUGUUUCUAUAAUGCUUCUUCUGAGUAAACAAGCAAAUAAAUUA